This 533-nucleotide ribosomal RNA is filed under the name Diaspis coccois. Its description in RNAcentral is "eukaryotic LSU rRNA". RNAcentral also lists the same sequence under 1 other name. Lineage: Eukaryota; Metazoa; Arthropoda; Insecta; Hemiptera; Diaspididae. The record is from RNAcentral.
AUCUGGGCGGCGGAAUUCAGGAUGGCUGGGCGGGCUUCGCGCUCGUUCGGCCGUUUGAACUUUCCGUCGCCGUUGCAGACGUCGCGACCUGUUCGUUGUCGGUCCUUGCUCGGAGGAACCGCGAUCGAGUUCGUUGCGGGGCGUGUUUCGGCGCGUCUCGCGGCGAAGACGCGACUCUCUGGCCGACGACGGACAGUAAGCAACGGUGGCCGGCGCGGUGUCUCGCACUCCGCGUCCGGUGCCGGUCAGCGACGAUUUCUUCGGGCCUCUUUCCGACCCGUCUUGAAACACGGACCAAGGAGUCUAACAUGCGCGCGAGUCGCGGGGUUUCGAGCGUGCCACGGUGCGCUCGUUACUUCCGAAACCCGUACGUUGAAGGCGUAAUGAAAGUGAACAGGGAAGAUGGCGUUCCGAGUCCACGAACCGUGAUCGAGUAUCGCGGCCGGACGCCCGCACUCCCGGGGCGUCUCAAUGGCUCGUCGCGGAUGCGGACGGUCGUUCUUCGGGGCGGCCGUCGGUCUGCGACGGACCGA